GCUGCCUUCAAACUGUCGGCCCCAAUUGGUGAUGAUGACGGCUGGAGUUCCAUAGUGAGCAAUCCAGUUGUCCACAAAUGCUGCUGCCACCGUCUGAGCGUUGAUGUUGGGUAGUGGAAUAGCUUCAGAUCAUCUGGAAAAUUUAUCGAUUAAGGCAAUUUCUCGAGGACGUCCGCAAUGAUGUCGAGGUUUCCUCGUCCAGGUGACGAGGUACAGCGUUGUACUUCUGCUUAUCAAACCGCAUUCGAUACGUACUGAACUCGCAGUCUAAGUGCACGGAUCAGAGUCUCGAACAAUUUCGUCAGAAGGCAGAGUCUCCUGAGCGAAGCCUUCUUCUGGGUCCUGAGGCACGGAGAUAGACAGAGGAUUUCGUCCCUGCGAACCCGAAGGGGUACGAGGAAGGGACAUUUCU
Molecule: long non-coding RNA, 412 nt
Organism: Pogonomyrmex barbatus (red harvester ant)
Lineage: Eukaryota; Metazoa; Arthropoda; Insecta; Hymenoptera; Formicidae
Source: RefSeq, a predicted model, not a curated record